CUGGGAUGUAAUCACCUUCACACAGCAGGCCCUGUCCAAUCAGGAUAAUUGGCACCAGACCGCAGACUACAAAGCAAGGGAAAUGGCCCUCCACACAAAGCAAAGCCUGUCAGGAGUCACUGUGGAGCUACUGCUCUCCUCUCUCUCCCUUUGUGCGCUGGAGCCUGCAGUACCACUUGAAAAUAGAUGGCCUUAACCACUGAUCCAAAAGAUCCUUGCAUCAGAGUAUCCUGAAUCCCAUUUCUGAUUUGAAAAACAGCAGCGUAACAUAAUAUUUCCCAGGGGACAUGCCUUCAUCGCGCCUACCACAUACCACAACAGGCUUCAAGACUCCUGGCUCAGCGCAGAGGAUGUGACAGGAAUCAAAGAGGGUUUUCCUGCUAUUUACAUCAGACGCUACAAUACUUACUUGUGCAGACACUCAAACCUGCUUUGCUAUUUGCCUUCAGACGUCAAGGUCAGAUGACUUGCCUUUUUUUUUACAGAUAAAUAAA
Molecule: long non-coding RNA, 494 nt
Organism: Perca flavescens (yellow perch)
Lineage: Eukaryota; Metazoa; Chordata; Actinopteri; Perciformes; Percidae
Exons: 3
Source: RefSeq, a predicted model, not a curated record